This is a long non-coding RNA of Carassius auratus (goldfish), 1213 nucleotides long. RefSeq lists it as uncharacterized. The transcript is spliced from 3 exons. NCBI's taxonomy places the organism in Eukaryota, Metazoa, Chordata, Actinopteri, Cypriniformes, Cyprinidae. The record is from RefSeq and is a predicted model, not a curated record.
GGAAGAGUCUACUCAGUGCACUUUAUUUGCAUGUUUUUAAAAACACAACAUACCAGGUAAAGUUUAUGUCGUCUGCGGUUUGUUUAGCGCCUAUAAUCUGGUUAAAACUUGUGAGACCAGAGCAUAUAUAUUGCUGCAGAAUUCCACAGAAUUUUUAAUAUCAGCUUCAGAAAAACAAGUUCUAUGCAGAGCUGGACAGACAUACUCCUCGACUGAUUGCUGUUUACAGGCUGAAGGCUGCCCGUACAGGCAAGGCAGCAGAAGCACUGAGAAGCAUCUGUAGUGCCUAUGAUCUUACGGUGAAUUUUGUUAAUUACAUUUAUAGUACAAGUUAAUUGGUUAAUGUGCACAAGUAUUUUACUGCUAUCUGGUUAUUGUUUAAACCUGGCUUUUAACUUUUUUUUGCUUUACAUUUCUUCCCUUCUUUCAUCUGUACUUUUUUUCUCUAUUUUAUUAUUUUCUCUUGCAUCACUAAAGACAAUUCUAUCUUUUUUCAGGAUCACUACGAUAUUGGCAACAGACGUUCAGCUGCACUUCGAGCCCCCCCUGUCUAUUUGCACGAAGAUGACUCUGUGUUUUUUUUAAGAUGUGGAAUGUGGGUUUUUAUACAUCUCCUUUGAAUUUUAAUGUUAUUUAUCUGAUUAUGCUUAUGAAGUUCUCUAAUGCUUUUCAGACUGAAGAGGUUGAUGAGCCAGACACUGCAGAUUCAGCUCUUGUCAGCAUGGUGAAUGGAGACUCGAGUUCCACUGUUCAAUUUGACCCUGCUGGGAUUGCUGUUGUGCUGGAAGGUGACAUUGUUCUAAGGGACAUUUCCAGGUUGGCUGAUGCUUUUCUUUUGAUGUUUGGUUUGAUAUAUGCAUUACAUCUCAACUACCCCAAAGAGCUGACCCACACCUUUAACUUCAUCCAAAAAGUCUUACUGGGUUUGGAGGACUCAAAGCCACUAACACCCAGAUUGCUGAGUCAAAAAAUGAGCUACUGAAUAAGGAGUAAGAGUAAUGGAUGUACGAGUGCGAUACAAUUUAUUUUCUGUUCUUUUCAGUUGUUGUGACUACUGUAUUUGCCCUAUUAAACACUGAGCUCAAGCUUUUAAAUUCCCCAGUGAAGUGGAGAAUUGCAUUUUAAUUUAAGUAUUUACUGGGAUUGCGUUACUGAAUGCCACUAGCCCCCAGAUUGCUGUCUAAAUUUUCUGGAUAAACAAGAGACUGUUUAU